CCUUCGCCCACUUAGGACAAUUGCCUCGG
Molecule: small RNA, 29 nt
Filed under: Bombyx mori (domestic silkworm)
Lineage: Eukaryota; Metazoa; Arthropoda; Insecta; Lepidoptera; Bombycidae
Description: ovarian small RNA-2618
Source: RNAcentral